GCUCAGCGCGGUAAAAGUGCUCCAGCUAUGCGCGUCUGUAUGUCUUUUUAGCUGAGGCGCUCGGUAAAUUUCACCGAAUAUGAGUUAAUAUAACUGUGUAAAAAAGCAAAUUUUGACGCCAUGUUGAAAAAUGCUUACUGGAAAGCGUCAUUACAAGCGUGAUCAUGGAAGACUCCACAUCUAGCAGUGCCUGGCGCUCUCUAAAAUUGCAAGUUUUCUGCAAAUUAUGGAAUAAAACUGGAACCAGCAGUGCCAAAACCAAAUUAGAUAUAUUAUGUCUUGGUCUAUGCCGUGGUGGAAAAGGAAUUCCAUCAAUCAUGAAGUAAAUCUGCGCACCCUGGGUUACGAAAAUCACUGACCAAUGAGAUGCAACGUCUGCACGCCUGCCCUGUGAAAAUUUUGCUGUUGGAAGUAGGAAGAUUCCGCACAACGAAUUCAGCUUGGCUCCCCACAGAAGAUUUUUCUGUUUUGAAC
Long non-coding RNA from Neocloeon triangulifer, 474 nucleotides. RefSeq lists it as uncharacterized. The transcript has 3 exons. Lineage: Eukaryota; Metazoa; Arthropoda; Insecta; Ephemeroptera; Baetidae. The record is from RefSeq and is a predicted model, not a curated record.